GAGCGGGCCGGACGGCCGCGGGCAUAAGGCGAAAGCCUGUGCGUGAGGAAAGUCCGGGCUCCAUAGGGCAAGGAUAACGGGUAACACCCGCCAGGGGCGACCCUCGGACAAGUGCAACAGAGAUAUACCGCCGGGCAGGGCCUAUGCCCAGCCCGGUAAGGCUGGAAAGGCGAGGUAAGAGCUCACCCAUCGCCUGGAGACAGGUGGAUGCUGUAAACUCUAUCCGGAGCAACACCGUGGAGGGACAUAUAGGCCGGCCCGGCCGUCCCGAGGAGGUGGCUAAAGCCUUGCGGCAACGUAAGGCGUAGAUAGAUGGCCGUCGAUUACAGAACCCGGCUUACAGGCCCGCUCUU
Molecule: RNase P RNA, 353 nt
Filed under: human gut metagenome
Also listed under: 1 other name
Description: Bacterial RNase P class A
Rfam family: Bacterial RNase P class A
About the family: Ribonuclease P (RNase P) is a ubiquitous endoribonuclease, found in archaea, bacteria and eukarya as well as chloroplasts and mitochondria. Its best characterised activity is the generation of mature 5'-ends of tRNAs by cleaving the 5'-leader elements of precursor-tRNAs.
Source: RNAcentral